GAUGAAGAACGUAGCGAAAUGCGAUAAGUAGUGUGAAUUGCAGAAUUCAGUGAAUCAUCUAAUCUUUGAACGCACAUUGCGCCCUUUGGUAUACCUUAGGGCAUGCCUGUUCGAGCGUCAUUUAAACCUUCAAGCUAAGCUUGGUGUUGGGUGACUGUCCGCUUCACGGCGGACUCGCCUCAAAAUUAUUGGCGGCCGGUACAUUGGCUUCGAGCGCAGCAGAAACGCGAACUCGGGCCCGUCGUAUUGGCUCCCAGAAGCUAUCUUCACAAUUUUGACCUCGGAUCAGGUAGGGAUACCCGCUGAACUUAAGCAUAUCAAUAAGCGGAGGA
RNAcentral lists this unclassified non-coding RNA (332 nucleotides) under soil metagenome. RNAcentral describes it as "partial contains 5.8S ribosomal RNA, internal transcribed spacer 2, and large subunit ribosomal RNA". The stretch from base 1 to 120 matches the Rfam family "5.8S ribosomal RNA", at positions 35 to 154 of the family's 154-position model. The record is from RNAcentral.